GGUUAAGCGACUAAGCGUACACGGUGGAUGCCCUGGCAGUCAGAGGCGAUGAAGGACGUGCUAAUCUGCGAUAAGCGUCGGUAAGGUGAUAUGAACCGUUAUAACCGGCGAUUUCCGAAUGGGGAAACCCAGUGCAAUUCGUUGCACUAUCGUUAAGUGAAUACAUAGCUUAACGAAGCGAACCGGGGGAACUGAAACAUCUAAGUACCCCGAGGAAAAGAAAUCAACCGAGAUUCCCCCAGUAGCGGCGAGCGAACGGGGAGCAGCCCAGAGUCUGAAUCAGCAUGUGUGUUAGUGGAAGCGUCUGGAAAGUCGCACGAUACAGGGUGAAAGUCCCGUACACCAAAAUGCACAUGUUGUGAACUCGAAGAGUAGGGCGGGACACGUGGUAUCCUGUCUGAAUAUGGGGGGACCAUCCUCCAAGGCUAAAUACUCCUGACUGACCGAUAGUGAACCAGUACCGUGAGGGAAAGGCGAAAAGAACCCCGGCGAGGGGAGUGAAAAAGAACCUGAAACCGUGUACGUACAAGCAGUGGGAGCCUCUUUAUGGGGUGACUGCGUACCUUUUGUAUAAUGGGUCAGCGACUUAUAUUCUGUAGCAAGGUUAACCGAAUAGGGGAGCCGAAGGGAAACCGAGUCUUAACUGGGCGUUAAGUUGCAGGGUAUAGACCCGAAACCCGGUGAUCUAGCCAUGGGCAGGUUGAAGGUUGGGUAACACUAACUGGAGGACCGAACCGACUAAUGUUGAAAAAUUAGCGGAUGACCUGUGGCUGGGGGUGAAAGGCCAAUCAAACCGGGAGAUAGCUGGUUCUCCCCGAAAGCUAUUUAGGUAGCGCCUCGUGAAUUCAUCUUCGGGGGUAGAGCACUGUUUCGGCUAGGGGGUCAUCCCGACUUACCAACCCGAUGCAAACUACGAAUACCGAAGAAUGUUAUCACGGGAGACACACGGCGGGUGCUAACGUCCGUCGUGAAGAGGGAAACAACCCAGACCGCCAGCUAAGGUCCCAAAGUCACAGUUAAGUGGGAAACGAUGUGGGAAGGCUCAGACAGCCAGGAUGUUGGCUUAGAAGCAGCCAUCAUUUAAAGAAAGCGUAAUAGCUCACUGGUCGAGUCGGCCUGCGCGGAAGAUGUAACGGGGCUAAACUGUGCACCGAAGCUGCGGCAGCGACACUAUGUGUUGUUGGGUAGGGGAGCGUUCUGUAAGCCGUUGAAGGUGUGUCGUGAGGCAUGCUGGAGGUAUCAGAAGUGCGAAUGCUGACAUAAGUAACGAUAAAGCGGGUGAAAAACCCGCUCGCCGGAAGACCAAGGGUUCCUGUCCAACGUUAAUCGGGGCAGGGUGAGUCGACCCCUAAGGCGAGGCCGAAAGGCGUAGUCGAUGGGAAACAGGUUAAUAUUCCUGUACUUGGUGUUACUGCGAAGGGGGGACGGAGAAGGCUAUGUUGGCCGGGCGACGGUUGUCCCGGUUUAAGCGUGUAGGUUUGCAGACCAGGUAAAUCCGGUCUGCUUCAAGACUGAGACGUGAUGACGAGGCACUACGGUGCUGAAGUAACAAAUGCCCUGCUUCCAGGAAAAGCCUCUAAGCAUCAGGUAACACGAAAUCGUACCCCAAACCGACACAGGUGGUCAGGUAGAGAAUACCAAGGCGCUUGAGAGAACUCGGGUGAAGGAACUAGGCAAAAUGGUGCCGUAACUUCGGGAGAAGGCACGCUGAUACGUAGGUGAAGCGGUUUACCCGUGGAGCUGAAAUCAGUCGAAGAUACCAGCUGGCUGCAACUGUUUAUUAAAAACACAGCACUGUGCAAACACGAAAGUGGACGUAUACGGUGUGACGCCUGCCCGGUGCCGGAAGGUUAAUUGAUGGGGUUAGCGCAAGCGAAGCUCUUGAUCGAAGCCCCGGUAAACGGCGGCCGUAACUAUAACGGUCCUAAGGUAGCGAAAUUCCUUGUCGGGUAAGUUCCGACCUGCACGAAUGGCGUAAUGAUGGCCAGGCUGUCUCCACCCGAGACUCAGUGAAAUUGAACUCGCUGUGAAGAUGCAGUGUACCCGCGGCAAGACGGAAAGACCCCGUGAACCUUUACUAUAGCUUGACACUGAACAUUGAGCCUUGAUGUGUAGGAUAGGUGGGAGGCUUUGAAGUGUGGACGCCAGUCUGCAUGGAGCCAACCUUGAAAUACCACCCUUUAAUGUUUGAUGUUCUAACGUAGACCCGUAAUCCGGGUUGCGGACAGUGUCUGGUGGGUAGUUUGACUGGGGCGGUCUCCUCCCAAAGAGUAACGGAGGAGCACGAAGGUUAGCUAAUCCUGGUCGGACAUCAGGAGGUUAGUGCAAUGGCAUAAGC
Molecule: ribosomal RNA, 2338 nt
Filed under: Salmonella enterica
Lineage: Bacteria; Pseudomonadati; Pseudomonadota; Gammaproteobacteria; Enterobacterales; Enterobacteriaceae
Description: partial 23S ribosomal RNA
Rfam family: Bacterial large subunit ribosomal RNA
Source: RNAcentral